This is a long non-coding RNA of Homo sapiens (human), 716 nucleotides long. The record is from Ensembl. NCBI's taxonomy places the organism in Eukaryota, Metazoa, Chordata, Mammalia, Primates, Hominidae.
AGAGAGAGUAAUCCUAUCAAAUGCAGGUGCACAGAAAUUAGGAGAUCAGAACAGCUCCUUGCAUUUCUUGCUACAUUUCCAGUAUUUUCCCAUUCCCUUGCUCAGUGCCUUGUCAGCACACCUAGAAUUGAGGGUGUGAUAAGAGAGGAGCAGAAAAGUAAGACUGAAAUAUUGUCCAAUACGACUAAGAAUUUUGCAGAAUGCAAUAAUUGUUUUAAACACAACAGCAGUUUAUGGUUAUCAAGGCACCAAGGAAUAGCACUGCCAAGAAUUUACUGAGCAGUAGGGCUUCUCUGACAGGAACUGCGCAGCAAUGUUCUCCCAGCAGCUUGACGUCAUUCUGCAUUGGUUGGAGUGAGAUUGGACAGAGCGUGGCUGAAGCUGACAGGAAAGAGAUUAUGCAGGAGUAUGAAGUUAAACAAACAAGAGAAGAUGAAGGAGGAAAAGAAGAAGAUGGAGGAGGACAAAGUUUUCAGAAGUGCUUAUUAGAGCUAUUACAUGCCAAAUAUCUACUCUGUGGGAAAAGCAAAUUUCACAUUUUUAUCAACUCUGUAUUCACACAUCUGAUCAAGAGAUGUUAGAAGCCAGUUCUUGAGAAUGGCAGGACCACCUUGUGGACAUAACCUGGGUCGGUGAAUGACUGCACGGAGCAGAGUCCUACCUGUCAAGACGUCAGAUUAUGAUGUGAAUAAGCAAUAAACAUAUAUUUUGUUAAC